AGCGAACGCUGGCGGCAGGCUUAACACAUGCAAGUCGAGCGCCUGUAGCAAUACAGGAGCGGCAGACGGGAGAGUAACACGUGGGAACGUACCCUUCAGUACGGAACAACCCACGGGAAACGUUAGGGCGUAAUACCGUAUACGUCCGUAAGGAGAAAGAUUUAUUCGCUGAAGGAUUGGCCCGCGUCUGAUUAGCUAGUUGGUGAGGUAACGGCUCACCAAGGCGACGAUCAGUAGCUGGUCUGAGAGGAUGAUCAGCCUCAUU
This 265-nucleotide ribosomal RNA is filed under the name uncultured bacterium. Its description in RNAcentral is "partial 16S ribosomal RNA". It matches the Rfam family "Bacterial small subunit ribosomal RNA", at positions 29 to 314 of the family's 1533-position model. The record is from RNAcentral.